Molecule: ribosomal RNA, 468 nt
Filed under: uncultured bacterium
Lineage: Bacteria
Description: partial 16S ribosomal RNA
Rfam family: Bacterial small subunit ribosomal RNA
Source: RNAcentral
GACGAACGCUGGCGGCGUGCUUAACACAUGCAAGUCGAACGGAAAGGCCCUGCUUUUGUGGGGUGCUCGAGUGGCGAACGGGUGAGUAACACGUGAGUAACCUGCCCUUGACUUUGGGAUAACUUCAGGAAACUGGGGCUAAUACCGGAUAGGAGCUCCUGCUGCAUGGUGGGGGUUGGAAAGUUUCGGCGGUUGGGGAUGGACUCGCGGCUUAUCAGCUUGUUGGUGGGGUAGUGGCUUACCAAGGCUUUGACGGGUAGCCGGCCUGGGAGGGUGACCGGCGACAUUGGGACUGAGGUACGGCCCAGACUCCUACGGGAGGCAGCAGUGGGGAAUAUUGCACAAUGGGCGGAAGCCUGAUGCAGCAACGCCGCGUGCGGGAUGACGGCCUUCGGGUUGUAAACCGCUUUCGCCUGUGACGAAGCGUGAGUGACGGUAAUGGGUAAAGAAGCACCGGCUAACUACGUG